Molecule: long non-coding RNA, 4146 nt
Organism: Lynx canadensis (Canada lynx)
Lineage: Eukaryota; Metazoa; Chordata; Mammalia; Carnivora; Felidae
Exons: 7
Source: RefSeq, a predicted model, not a curated record
AAAACAAGCAGACCCACCUCAUCCUUAUCCGUGAGAAGUGACUCAGGCAGGUGAACCGGACUGCACCGCUGUCCGCUGUCGCACCGGGAAAGGACUGUGGGAGAACAGGGGAGGCACAUCCAUUUCUGAGCAGCUGACAGCACCACGUGGAGCCCAAGGCCCUGCGUAAACACAGCAACCCAGGAAGAGGGCUCAAUGCCCUCCACCGGCCACCAAGCUCUUGCACUGUAAUGACUACUGUUGUCCAGGUUGGCAACAUUUUACAUUUCAGCAUCUCACAAAGUUGAUAAAUAAUUAUCUACACAUCACAGUUCUCCAUUAACAGAAGACAACCAUAAAAGGAGGUGGUGACGUGCCCUGUCAUUGAUUACAAAGCAGCUCUGAAGCAAGACAAAGCGUGGGACGCUGGACUUCAAGUUCUCACUGUGAGAAAUAUGCAAACCAGACUGGAACACCUGGGUUGGCUGCUCAGCCCAUUUUCGUCCCCAGGAGGAAAGUCACAGUGUCAGAUCGAGAAAAGCUGAAGACAGAUAUCCAACAGGGUGCCUGUGAAUGCCUGAAGACUCGCGGUCAGAACCCCAGAAGACUCAGACAAAGACCAAUGGCUUCCCAGCUGCUGCGCUCCCUAGUCUGUGGUUUUCCUAUGAUAUAAACAAAAGAUUCUGGAGAGAACAAGCAACUGACCUAAAGUACAAGAUAAACUGAUUUCCUAGAGGACUUCCAUCCUCCUCCCUGCUGAUACUUGAAGCAGUGAAGAACCUCAAGGAGCUACGGGCAAGGGCUGGCAGGAACCACCGGGGGUCCCUCUUGGAGGGUAGAAGAGGCACUUCCCCAAACCUUACCUUGCUCAUGGCAGUGAGGGCAGGGUCGCAGGCAGCAUCGAGAUCUUGAACCAACAACUGGAUGCUGCUAGAGAUGACACUGCAAGUCAAACACAUCACUGUGGUCAUGACUUUAAAAGACUAACUUUCUCAAUUACCAACACGGCCCCUGCCAAAUCUUUUAGGGACUUGUCUCAAAGUUAGAUUCAUCAUUUCUUCAGAAGAACUCGAGCUUGAUUUCAAAAGGGAACGGAUGACAAGGAGGAACCUUUCAGCUCUUCAUUCUUGCUCCGUGUCCUGGCCUCUAUUUGGGUGUGUGCCCGCUGAGUCAGAUCACAAAAUUCCAUGGCUAGUCCCCCUGAUCACUCCAUCCAGAAUCCCUCUUCACUUCUUACUUCAAAAGCACCUAUUUGCCCCAAAUGUUUAAAUCAGAACUUGAAAAAAAAAAAAAAAAGUUGAGAAAAGGAGAGGAAAUAACUUAGGAGGAGAAUCUUGACUUUUCCUUGGUAAGUGCUUGAUGUGCAGGCUGAAGCUUGGCCUGCCCCGGUCUUAUUUACUGACCGCAACAAAUGAACUGCAGACCGUACUGUCAAAAGGACUACUUUGAGAAGGCUUUCCAGUUUGAACCUCUUGGACAGACACCCUCCACCCCACCCCCACCCCCAGCUAAAGUCAAGAUGCUCACAUUUCCUGUUGGAAGACACUGCAGAUAGGGCUGCCCUUUGUGGAUCUGGGGUAGGCGGGGGGGGGGCAGACAGGAGGCCCUGGACUUGACCUUCCUACAAGGGUGGCCAAGGGAGGACUUCUCUUUUUGUUAUUGUCAGUAGUGCAACAGUAAAGGCCCCGUAUGCUAAAAAUGACUGCUCGUGAGGAGGCAGCGUGGGAGGCGCCAACUUCUAAUGCUUUUUCUUAGUGGCUGCUAGAGAAUCAUCCUGAUUCAACAGGAGGCCUGGGGGACCUCUGAAGUUCUGUAGUGACCUAAGGCUCACAGCCUGAGACAUUCUGCUUUGUGAGGGGUAAAGGGCAGGCCUUAAGCAAAUAUGUGCAAGGUACAUACGUGCUGAAUGUAUCCAUUUCUCCGGUCAGAUUGAUUCGUUCAGUCAGACUCACAUCAACUUUUUCUUUGAGUUUUUCUUCUAGCUAUUAACAAUAAGAGAGAAAAACAUGCUUAACGAUUAUCCAAAGGAGUGCUAUAAAUAAGAAUACUUAACAUGUACCGAGUUUGAUGAUUCAGUACAAUUCCAGGCACUUUUCAUGUACUGACUCAUUUAAUCCUCACAACCCGAGGAGGAAGAUUCUAUUAUUAUCUCAUUUUACAGAAGAGAAAGUGGAGGUGUGACCUCCCCAAGACAGUACGAGGUAGGGCCACGAGUCAAACUUCCUCUAGAACCUGUGCCCUUUAGCACUGGGCUGCACUCGUUUCUUAUGACACACUGACAAUUCACUUCAUUAAUUUUAAAAAGACCCUGGUUUUUAGGCUCCUCCCUGCUCCAUGAACUGCAGGCUUGCUCACCAGCACUGGAAGCCUCUGGUGGUAAGUGGCAGUAAAAUCAGUGAAAGUAUUCACUGAGAGCACUGCUAUGGGCCACCCACUAUACGAAGGUGCGGGGGGGGGGGGGGGGAUACGCAGGUAAACAACAAAAAAAGCACAGGCUGCCCUCAUCAGCCUACAGCCAAACACUGGCCAUGCUCCCAACCGCCUCAAAGAAGAAGACAACUGACCGGGAAUUGUAAACAUCUCCAAGCAUCCUGGGAACUGACUCAUCUAGCACUCCCAAAGCUAUUGAGUACACAAACUCUAAUAAUGAGUGUUUUGUCUUAAACUUAAAAAUGCUCUUAGGGGUGUGUACAUUAGUGUAACUUUCCGGAAAGCAAUUUAUUUAAAAAGCAGAGAUUUAAAUACACACACUCUUUAAAACAGCAAUUUCACACCUAGAGAUAUAUUUCAAUGAAUAACGAGAACGAUAUACAGAGAUACGCGAGUAUUCUUUGCAGCGUUCGUUAAUUCAACCAAAAUUUACAGAAAACCUGCUUUGUGCCAGGCUCUGUAACACAGUGAGUUACUCAGUGAACAAAACAGGUGAAUUCCAGACCAAAUGUGAAAAGGAACUUCUAAUCCCACGUCUACGGCUGAAUGGAAAAUUCUUCUGGGUCUUCCUUCUGCUAAUGGGGAGCUCCAGGAGAGGCAUCACCCUUUCCUGCUUCAUAGUUCCUGAACGUCAGCGUCCAAACAAUGGCUGUUUGUUUAGGCAGGCUGAGAAUGCUGUGUGCAUUUCAGGAGACACAUGAAAGCCCAAAGGAUUUUGCUUAGCCCAGUAACACUUCUGAGCAUGGGAUCACUGGCUGUGACUCAUCACCACCAAAGGCCGGGUCCUAGCACUGUUAAGUUUGUUGCUACUUUUCUCCUACGGGAGACAGUGCUACUGACCUACUUUCAAGAAGGCAUGCCCUCUGAGGAACUUAAACCACACUGGGGGAGACCGGUCAUACUUUCUUGCCCAGUCUCCUUUUAACAAGGCUCUUCUGUAAGAUGGCUGCCUGGGCCGUCUUCUGGCUGGACUGCAAAUUUUCCUCUGUGACAAACCUUUACGUGGCUGCCCAAGGUUGUACACGGCUUGUUAGGGCCCACAGUUUCAGCCACUGAGUUAGGAGGCCCAGAUGGGUCAGGAAAAGGAGGUGGUGGGCAGCUCACCUGCUGGGUGGUGGCCAGACAGUACUCUGCUGUGCUCAGGAUGCUGCAGAUGAGGCAGAGCUCCUCUAGAGUGAACUUGGCCACUUCUGAGCCUUCCUUUUCCUUGAGGAGGCUGCUGAUGGUCAGCCCUCCACUGCUGCUUGUGGUUCUGAGGAAAAGGAACAGGAACCGGUCAGGCUGGGACUUCUUAUUUGCUUCCUGAACUGGUAACUGCACAUCUUAAGACAAAGAAAAGGGGGAAGGAAAGGCUGGACAUGGCCCAAACAAACCUACGUACACUGAGUCCUUUUCCUACUGACCUUACCUUGACUAUCAUCUGUUUAAAUUCUCUGACCAUCAGAAGUAGGAAGAGACGAUUCCAACAGCAAGCCAAUAAUCAGUCACAUGAACGAAGAUGACUCUCAUACUCACAGAGAAGGCAGCUGAGUGACUUCUCUGCUUAGCUUAGAAUCUCCUGAUCUGGAAAGUUCGAGAGUUCUGUAGCACAAAAGCUGGUUCUCCAAUUGCCCCUCUCAGUUAGGAAACUUCUGCACAGGAAUGUGUACGCUGUGCUUGUGGAGGGGUACCAAAGUGAAUGUUAAAGCAUGGCUCCUGCCCAAAGCCCGACUAUCACACACCUUCCUACUGAUCUAA